This 72-nucleotide transfer RNA is filed under the name Dictyocaulus viviparus (bovine lungworm). It matches the Rfam family "tRNA". Rfam says of the family: Transfer RNA (tRNA) molecules are approximately 80 nucleotides in length. Their secondary structure includes four short double-helical elements and three loops (D, anti-codon, and T loops). Lineage: Eukaryota; Metazoa; Nematoda; Chromadorea; Rhabditida; Metastrongylidae. The record is from Rfam by way of RNAcentral.
ACCUCAUUGGCUCAGGGGUAUAGCGUUUUUCUAGUAAAUAGAAGGCCUCUGGUUCAGUUCCCGCAUGAGGCA